CUGUGGGCAGGGAGCUACGUUGGGCUGGAGUAGGGCCUACGGGCUGAACGGUGGCAUCCUCCGCCGCUCGCUGGAGUCCGCACUGCCUUAGGAACCCAAGAAGCCAUCCUUUGACUUAGAGCCGGUGCCAGUUUUCAACUUGAGGGUGGAGGGAUUUCAACUAAAGAAGGCAGCCCUGCUUGGACAAUUCAAGGGCUCUAGAGAGCUAGUGUCAGUGUGCAGAAGAGUCCAGGAUGUCUGGUGAGAGGUUGACACCUGAUAGAACAGUAGCAGUACCUUUAAGGUAAUAUUUGUCUACCUACUAAAUGGCUAAAAGAUUCAGCUCCAAUUCAAGUCAUGGAUGGAACAUAUCACCUCUCACAGUGCUCCUCUUGAAUAAGGAAGUGCGCUGUGACAUUUUUCAAAUGAACAAUGCUUUUGAUUUCUUCUACUUUAAAUGGAACUUGUAAAUUCAAAAUCAGUCUCCUAUAAUUCAAGUCUGCAAAUAUUUGAAAAAUGUAGGAAUGUUUAUCAUUUUA
Non-coding RNA from Microcebus murinus (gray mouse lemur), 518 nucleotides. The record is from RefSeq and is a predicted model, not a curated record. Lineage: Eukaryota; Metazoa; Chordata; Mammalia; Primates; Cheirogaleidae.